RNAcentral lists this small nuclear RNA (136 nucleotides) under Characidium zebra. RNAcentral describes it as "U2". It matches the Rfam family "U2 spliceosomal RNA", at positions 4 to 139 of the family's 192-position model. From Rfam's summary of the family: U2 is a small nuclear RNA (snRNA) component of the spliceosome (involved in pre-mRNA splicing). Complementary binding between U2 snRNA (in an area lying towards the 5' end but 3' to hairpin I) and the branchpoint sequence (BPS) of the intron results the bulging out of an unpaired adenosine, on the BPS, which initiates a nucleophilic attack at the intronic 5' splice site, thus starting the first of two transesterification reactions that mediate splicing. The record is from RNAcentral. Lineage: Eukaryota; Metazoa; Chordata; Actinopteri; Characiformes; Crenuchidae.
GCUUCUCGGCCUUAUGGCUAAGAUCAAGUGUAGUAUCUGUUCUUAUCAGUUUAAUAUCUGAUACGUCCUCUAUAUGAGGACUACAUAUUAAAUUGAUUUUUAGAACAGGGAGACGGGAAAGGAGCUUGCUCCGCCC